GUCCAUCUAACAAUCUUCCCUUAUAUACGGGACCAAAGCCACCUUGUCCAAGUUUUUUACUUAAAUCAAAGUUGUUUGUUGCGAUGGCCAGCUUCUCAAAAUCAUAAAGAGGUAGUUCUUCAAUUUACUUUUGUCCCUAAUCAUGUCAUCCCUUCUCAAAUUCAAUCUUUUCCCGUUUUUGUUAUACUCCUCUGCAUAAACUAACUAUAUAACACU
This 216-nucleotide unclassified non-coding RNA is filed under the name Hevea brasiliensis (rubber tree). Lineage: Eukaryota; Viridiplantae; Streptophyta; Magnoliopsida; Malpighiales; Euphorbiaceae. The record is from RNAcentral.